RNAcentral lists this ribosomal RNA (486 nucleotides) under uncultured bacterium. RNAcentral's name for it is "partial 16S ribosomal RNA". It matches the Rfam family "Bacterial small subunit ribosomal RNA", at positions 30 to 507 of the family's 1533-position model. The record is from RNAcentral.
AUUGAACGCUGGCGGCAUGCCUUACACAUGCAAGUCGAACGGCAGCACGGGUGCUUGCACCUGGUGGCGAGUGGCGAACGGGUGAGUAAUACAUCGGAACAUGUCCUGUAGUGGGGGAUAGCCCGGCGAAAGCCGGAUUAAUACCGCAUACGAUCCACGGAUGAAAGUGGGGGACCUUCGGGCCUCGCGCUAUAGGGUUGGCCGAUGGCUGAUUAGCUAGUUGGUGGGGUAAAGGCCUACCAAGGCGACGAUCAGUAGCUGGUCUGAGAGGACGACCAGCCACACUGGGACUGAGACACGGCCCAGACUCCUACGGGAGGCAGCAGUGUGGAAUUUUGGACAAUGGGCGAAAGCCUGAUCCAGCAAUGCCGCGUGUGUGAAGAAGGCCUUCGGGUUGUAAAGCACUUUUGUCCGGAAAGAAAUCCUUGACUCUAAUACAGUCGGGGGAUGACGGUACCGGAAGAAUAAGCACCGGCUAACUACGUG